UCAAGCGAAACGCACUUAUAGUUUGACUUCCCGAAACUAAGCGAGCUACUCUAAAGCACUUUAUAGAAUUAACCCGUCCCUGUAGCAAAAGGGUGGGAAGACUUUAGAAUAGAGGUGAUACACCUACCGAGCUUAGAGAUAGCUGGUUAUUCAAGAAAAGAAUCUAAGUUCAUCUUUAAGUUUCUACAGUUUAAUAAAACAUUUAAUAAACUUAAAAGUUAUUCAAAUAAGGGACAGCCUAUUUGAAAAAGGACACAGCCUAUAACUCAGGGUAAUGACCUUCUCUCAUGACCAAGUUAGCCUAAAAGCAGCUAUCUUUCAAAAAGCGUCCAAGCUUCAUCACAAACCUUAUUAAUCCCAUAAUUAACUCAUAACCCUCAACCACUACUGAAUAGUCUCAUACUAUAUGAGAAUUAUUAUGCUAGAACUAGUAACAAGAAGAAGACCUUCUCCAAAAUGUAAACGUAAGCCAAAAUGAACACUCACCGGCACUUACCGCCACAAACCUACAGUAUUAACAUCUCAAGAAAAAAAUACUCCUACCGACGUUAACCUUACACUAGCACAUUCCAGGAAAGAUUCAAAAAAAGGGAAGGAACUCGGC
This 604-nucleotide ribosomal RNA is filed under the name Platypelis barbouri (Barbour's giant treefrog). RNAcentral's name for it is "partial 16S ribosomal RNA". The stretch from base 1 to 425 matches the Rfam family "Bacterial large subunit ribosomal RNA", at positions 677 to 1300 of the family's 2925-position model. Lineage: Eukaryota; Metazoa; Chordata; Amphibia; Anura; Microhylidae. The record is from RNAcentral.